UACGUAGGUGGCAAGCGUUGUCCGGAUUUAUUGGGUUUAAAGGGUGCGUAGGCGGCCUUAUAAGUCAGUGCUGAAAUAUCCCGGCUUAACCGGGAGGGUGGCAUUGAUACUGUAGGGCUUGAGUGUAGUCGAGGUAGGCGGAAUUGACGGUGUAGCGGUGAAAUGCUUAGAUAUCGUCAAGAACACCGAUAGUGUAAACAGCUUACUAGGCUACAACUGACGCUGAGGCACGAAAGUGUGGGGAUCAAACAGG
RNAcentral lists this ribosomal RNA (253 nucleotides) under uncultured bacterium. Its description in RNAcentral is "partial 16S ribosomal RNA". It matches the Rfam family "Bacterial small subunit ribosomal RNA", at positions 524 to 776 of the family's 1533-position model. The record is from RNAcentral.